CGGCGGACGGGUGAGUAACACGUGGAUAACCUACCUAUAAGAGUGGGAUAACUUCGGGAAACCGGAGCUAAUACCGGAUAAUAUUUUAAACCGCAUGGUUCAAAAGUGAAAGACGGUCUUGCUGUCACUUAUAGAUGGAUCCGCGCUGCAUUAGCUAGUUGGUAAGGUAACGGCUUACCAAGGCAACGAUGCAUAGCCGACCUGAGAGGGUGAUCGGCCACACUGUAACUGAGACACGGUCCAG
RNAcentral lists this ribosomal RNA (244 nucleotides) under uncultured Staphylococcus sp. RNAcentral's name for it is "partial 16S ribosomal RNA". It matches the Rfam family "Bacterial small subunit ribosomal RNA", at positions 96 to 334 of the family's 1533-position model. The record is from RNAcentral. Lineage: Bacteria; Bacillati; Bacillota; Bacilli; Caryophanales; Staphylococcaceae.